UUCCUGGUAGUCCAGUGGCUAAGACUCUGCACUCCCGGUGCACGGGGCCUAGGUUUGAUUCCUGGUCAGGGAA
Transfer RNA from Ovis aries (sheep), 73 nucleotides. It matches the Rfam family "tRNA". From Rfam's summary of the family: Transfer RNA (tRNA) molecules are approximately 80 nucleotides in length. Their secondary structure includes four short double-helical elements and three loops (D, anti-codon, and T loops). The record is from Rfam. NCBI's taxonomy places the organism in Eukaryota, Metazoa, Chordata, Mammalia, Artiodactyla, Bovidae.